AGGAUUUUUAACGUUAAAACCCCUCAACUAUGUUUAUUUUGGGUAAAAAACCCCAAACUAAGUAUUUAACGUAAAAGCCCCCAAACUAACUUUAUUUAAUUAAGUAAACCCUAGCAGGUCAUAAUUACCAAUACUACCGGUAAAUCUUUAAUUUAGGGAUUUCUACAUUAAGUAAACAUAGUUGAGGGGUUUUACCAUUAAAAAUCAAGAAAAUCAAAAUUUUAUAAUAUUAUCUAAAAAUUAGUAACUUAAAUUUUUAAAAUUAGCAUUUUUAAUUUUUUUUUUGUAAAUAUAUGAAUUUGAUGUGUUCUUAACAUCAACAUUAUAUAUGUAUAAAUUAAAAAUGUAAAAACCGAGAAAAUAUAAAAAAAUUUAUAUAAAGAAUUUAGACGCAAUAAGACUUUCUUCUCUAACUUCCGGAUCAGACAUAUUCCAAGAGCACAAAAUACUAUGGCGGACAAGUUUGCAAGUGGUGCGAGGAGUUCUCCUUCAGCUAUGUUAUAUGUCGAUUCAAUACUUUCGGUUUGGCUUUCUGAAUCGCGCGGUCCAGUUACUUAGUUCUCGCUUAUGUUGUCAAAAAAAAGUUACUAAUUUUUAAAUAAUAUUAUAAAAUUUUGAUUUUUUUUGUUUUUUAAAUUUUUAAUGGUAAAACCCCUCAACUAUGUUUACUUAAUGUAGAAACCCCUAAAUUAAAGAUUUACCGGUAGUAAUGGUAAUUAUGAUCUGGUAGGGUUUAAUUCAUUAAAUAACGUUAGUUCAAGGGUUUUUUCAUUAAAUACUUAGUUUGGGUUUUUUUACCCAAAACAAACUUAGUUGAGGGGUUUUAACGUUAAAAAUCCUAUAUAUUAUUAUAUUUUGGUCAAACGUUAGUUUGCAAUUAGAAAAACCUUACACUUAUCCGGGGUUAGUGAUAGAUAGGUUAGUCAAUAUUUAUGGGUAUCCUAGUUGCACUAUUUUAAAAACUAUUUCGUACUUGAUUGACUCAAUUACUGUCUUGGUGGUGAGACUAAUUAGAGCAUCUUCGACUUAUCUCUAUGUUUUUGUUUUAAAAUACAAAGUUAUUUUUUCACUUUUAUUUUUCUUUUACAUAGAUAUUAUUAUUUUCUCUACGUGUGGAAGAAAAAAUAAUAUUCUUCUAUUUUAUUUUAUUUUUAGAGAUCAAUAUUUCUAAAGAAUACCUUCUAUAUUUUUAACAGUUGUUCUAUAUUUUAUAAAAGUACUAAAAUGCAUUGUGGUAUUACAAAGUUAUUUAAUUACGUUACUGGCACACCAAAUUAAGAUGGUAGCAUGAUUCAUAUGCACAUGACUAUGAUCUAAUGCGGUUAACUUUUCUGUUGCUUCAGAAAUUAAAUAUCAAAUUUAUAAACAAGUAUAGUUGAAGAACUGCAUUUAUUUUGUGAAACAAAAAGAAAAUUAGAAAACAAAGAAAUUCGUUGAUUAAUAUAUAAAAAUUAACUCUACAAGAAUAUAGAAAGAGUGAACGGUAAUUUAGAGAAAGCAGAAAACGUAAAAAUUCGUUAUACAGUAAAUCGGUUAACAAAAAAGAACUCAUCUUUUCUCAUUUUCUCUUUUUGUUUUUACUAGUUUGAAGUACCAUCUAAUUUUAAUUUUGAUAUUUACUUAACAAAAAAAGAAUUUUUGGUUGGUGUUUAACUUUUAUUUGAGUGUUAUUAUAUUUCGGUUAUAUUGUCUUUUCUUUUUUCGAGCAACUCGGUUAUAUUGUCUAUAUUGUAUUUUACUUUGAUCAAUUUUUAUUUGAGGUUAUCAUUUUGAGUUUUAUAAUACUAAUAUUAUUUCAAAACUCAUACUAUUUAAUUUGGAUUACCGCCAUUUUUUUUGUUUUUAGUCUUGUUAUGUGUCUUCUCCUAGAUCUCGUAUGUUAUUACGUAAGAUUGAAUUUAUUUAAAUUUGAGAAAGCAGAUGCCUAGUAAGAGUGUAAGACACAUGCAUGUGUGUACUUGUUGUCAAAAAAAACAUGUUACCAAUUUCUGUUGAUGCUUAUUUUAUAGGUAUUAUUAACUUGCAGUUCAGUUUACAAAGGACGAUAGUAUUAUAUAAGCACAGUUUAUCAAAUACAUACUGUCAAGAAAACAAGAUUGUUAAUUUUCGUGAACUCAUAUCACCCGAUUUGGUUAACCAAAUCUCUUAAUGAAUUUAGUAAUGAUGCUGACAUAAAACAUAAUAUUCAUAGACUAAUCAAUUUACAGGAUUAAAAAUGAAAUAGUCCUGCAAUCCUCCACAAAGUUGUCCACUGUAACCAUCAUACAUUAAUUAUAAUAGUACCGUGCACCGCAAUUAAGUUGAUACCUCACCUCAUUUUCCAGUAGUAUACUUCACUGGAGCAUUAAACUUCCUAAUUGUGAGGACCAUCCAUUUACUCAUUUUCCCAAUUUCCACCCCAUUAUUUGGCUACAGACCUAAUUAACCCAAGCUACUAUAGUGAAGCAAUAUUUGUCUUAUGUAUGACUUUGUCAACCGGUCAACUAUUUUCUCUACACCUCGACUUGCAAAGGAGAAUAAAUAGUACAUCGAUUCUUUCACUGAGUUCUCUGUCACAUUAGUUGUCUAAACCAUAUAUAUCAAAAAUGUUCUCGUGGUCGAAUAGUUUCACAAGAGAAUCCACUACUCUCUGCAUCAGCACCAUAGGUUAAUGAAUCCACAUUUGAGCCAACAAGCCAAUGGCAUUAGAUUCUUCAAAGUUUCUAUAUGUACAUAUACAAUAAACUACCAAUAACCAUCAAUCUCUUAAUAAAUUUAGACUCACUGUGGUGGUUCUACAUGUAUGGUGAUUAACCUCAUAAAAAGAAAUUUCAUGGCCUUGAUAGAAAAUCUAUCUGACUUGUUUUGUCGGGACUUAUAAAUAAAAGAAGCAUAUUAUAGGUUCUUCUAAAUGACUCUCAAUGGACGAAACUCCAAACAUGUAUCUUUCAUGUCCUUCUUUUUUUCCUCUAUAAAAUGCAACCAUUGAGGAUGUGAGCUUCAUGCAAAGACGAAGGGGAAACAUAAUCUUUCAGUGAAAAAGAGUGAUGAAAGAGCCGAAGAAAAAGUUUUUGGUGAGUGUGAAUGUUCUUGGAAGCGUUGGUCCUAUAAGGUUUUUGGUCAAUGAAGACGAUAACGUUUCAAGUGUUAUUAACACAGCUUUGAAAACCUAUGCUCGUCAAGGCAGGAUCCCGGUUCUAGGGUUAGAUGUCAACAACUUCAUUUUCUACUCCAAUAGUGCAGGAUUCAACACUUUGAAUCCACAAGAGAAGAUAGGCUCAAUGGAUGAAACGAACUUCUUGCUCUGCAAGAGAGAGCGAGAACCACUGGAAAAGGUCGAAGGAAGAGAAGAGAGUAAAGCUCGUGAAGGCAAGGGUUGGAAGAAUCGUCUUCGUCGGUCCUUAUUAGGAGAAUUUCUAUACAAAAACAAAUCUAACUCUACAAAAGUUGCAAGAACUGGAUCAUUAUAUCAGUGAUCCUUUUUCUUGCAAAUAUAUAUUUCAUUAAACUUAACGGGGUUUUCAAUACAAAUGUUAUUACUUACACUAAUAUAGUAGAUACAAUUUACAGCUCUUCAUAUAUAUACUUUUAUGUAGUAUAUUCUCAUUUGACGAUUUUAGCUGCGACUUCUGUAACACUACUUGCCUGAAAUUCGAUGCAACUUCCAAACAUAUAAAAUGCAUCAUAAAUUAUAAAACAGGAUUUUGAUGACAUUACCAGGAAACUAAUCAUAUCAUAAUUGAAUCUGCAGCAGCAGUAUUUGGGAAAGGUAACUAGACUUGGUCUAGGCAACAGAAAAAAAUAUCUUGUUGUUUCUGUUUCUGUUUCUGUUUCUGCGCUAAAGCUUUGAAGAUUCAAAAGCAUGCAUAUAAGAAUUUCACAAUCCCUUGACCAAUCUUUGUUUUUUUUAAUCAACCCUUGAAUAAUCUUAAGAGUAAUUUUAACAUAAAUGACUAUGCCUUCUAUAAGUUUACGGUUGCUCAAAACACUAAAUUAUCUUGAUGUACAUGUUGAUGCCAUUUACAUUUGAAAUAGUUUGGCGAGACAUGAGUACUCGAGACCAACCAACAAUCACUAAUGAAAUGCAGAGAAUUUCCAGGUUAUGAAAUUUGUAAGAAGGUUGUAGUCAAACAGUGAUGUGAAACACUAAAUGAAAACUUCAAUAUUCCUCUGCUUUAGCAGUUAUUCAUUGGCUUCCUACGGUGGUUAUUAUUUGUAUUACAAAUAUAUAUUUUUUUUUUGAAAAAGUAUUACAAAUAUUUUUUAUCAAAAUUAUAAUGCACCGAAAUUAUUUAGUCCAGUCUGUAGAAAAAGCUCUGAAAUAUGAAAACGGAAACCUAAGAAAAAUCAUUUGGAAAUAUCACAACAAUCGAUUAAUCAUAUAUUAAUUACUACUAAUAUCUUCAUCAAAAGUCAUGACCACGUUUUUCAGAAACGGUCAAAGACUAAGGGGGGGCUGUAUUCAAUUUGGAAGUGAUUUGUAUUAAAAUGACAAAUCUAAUGUUAUUCAAACAUGAAUUUAAAAAAAUACUUUGAAAUCAAGUGUUAUUGAACAUGUUAUUUUAUAAUACACUCUGAAAUUCACUGUUAUUGAACAAAAUUUAAGUUAGAGAUUUUAAAGUGCUUUAAGUGUUUCUAGAGUGUUUGAGAAGAGUUCUUUAGUUAUAAAAAUCAAAAUCAAAAUCAUAUGGUUUUAUAUGGGAUUCUAGAGUUAUUUAACAAAAAUCACACCAAAUUCUCAAAUUUUUCUACAAUCAUUUGAAAACUAAUUAAAAAUCAAAUCACUUCAAAUUUCAGAUUCAAUACACCCCUCCCUAAAUUAUUUUUGGAAACUAUAAAAACAAAUCAGCAUAUAUAUAAGAGAUUUAGAUGUUGUUUAUGACACAGAUCCAAUCUUUUUGUUCGUUUUAAAGUUUCGGAUUUCUUGUCCAGUGUUUAGGAGAGAAAAAGGUAAAAAGAAAAGUAUAAUAGUCGUCGAGGAUAUGCAGAACAGAAACGUAAGCCUAACUGUGGAUGGUUCUGAUACUAUUGAAAACCUAAAGGAUAUGAUCGAGGAGAGUGAAGGCGUCCCAGCGGAAAUGCAGAGGCUCAUCUUUUCAGGCAAGCAACUUCAAGAUGGUCACAACAUAGCAGACUACAACAUCCAAAACGGUUCAUUCAUUCACUUGGUUCUGCGUCUACUUGGCGGUUUCUGAAUGUGCAACAAGAAACAGAAUGUUGGUCUCCGUUGUUAUCUAUUAAAUCAAUAAAUUGAAGUGUUUAUUUUCUGAAUAACCAAAUUUUCUAGUAUUCAAUAAAACAAAAUGUCUGAUCUAAAAGACUUUAGAAUUUUUUUUGCAUGAUAUCAAAUUCUUAAGAUUGAUUUGUU
Long non-coding RNA from Brassica napus (rape), 5347 nucleotides. RefSeq lists it as uncharacterized. NCBI's taxonomy places the organism in Eukaryota, Viridiplantae, Streptophyta, Magnoliopsida, Brassicales, Brassicaceae. The record is from RefSeq and is a predicted model, not a curated record. The transcript has 2 exons.